CCGAAUGGAAGGGCCAUCGCUCAACGUAUAAAAGCUACCCCGGGGAUAACAGGCAUAUCACCCCCAAGAGUUCACAGCGACGGGGUGGUUUGGCACCUCGAUGUCGGCUCAUCGCAUCCUGGGGCUGUAGUCGGUCGCAUGGGUUGGGCUGUUCGCCCUUUAAAGCGGUACGCGAGCUGGGUUCAGAACGUCGUGUGACAGUUCGGUCCCUAUCCGUCGUGGGCGUAGGAUAUUUGAGAGGUGCUGUCCUUAGUACGAGAGGACCGGUAUGGACAUACCUCUGGUGUACCAGUUGUCGUGCCAACGGCAUAGCUGGGUAGCUAUGUAUGGACGGUAUAAGUGCUGAAAGGUUCUAUGCAUGAAGCCCCCCUCGAGUUGAGAU
RNAcentral lists this ribosomal RNA (382 nucleotides) under Staphylococcus pseudintermedius. Its description in RNAcentral is "partial 23S ribosomal RNA". It matches the Rfam family "Bacterial large subunit ribosomal RNA", at positions 2429 to 2810 of the family's 2925-position model. The record is from RNAcentral. Lineage: Bacteria; Bacillati; Bacillota; Bacilli; Caryophanales; Staphylococcaceae.